Non-coding RNA from Dipodomys ordii (Ord's kangaroo rat), 297 nucleotides. Lineage: Eukaryota; Metazoa; Chordata; Mammalia; Rodentia; Heteromyidae. The record is from Rfam.
GGAUGUGAGGGUGAUCUGGCUGCAACAUCUGUCACCAGGGUUGAUUCGGCUGAUCUGGCUGGCUAGGCGGGUGUCCCCUCCCUCCCUCACCACUGGUCCAUGUGUGUCCCUCCUGAAGCUGGGUGCUCAGUCAAACAGGACCACCAUCCCCGAUAGAGGAGGACUGGUCUUCAGUCAAGGGUGUACAAGUAGCUGCAUUCCCCUGCUAGAACCUCCAAACAAGCUCUCAAGCUCCAGACUCUGUCCUGGACUCCAGAUUCAAAUGCCCAAGUAUCCAUACCACUUUCACCUGCCUUU